Molecule: ribosomal RNA, 253 nt
Filed under: uncultured bacterium
Lineage: Bacteria
Description: partial 16S ribosomal RNA
Rfam family: Bacterial small subunit ribosomal RNA
Source: RNAcentral
UACAGAGGUCUCAAGCGUUGUUCGGAUUCAUUGGGCGUAAAGGGUGUGUAGGUGGCGCCGUAAGUCGGGUGUGAAAUCUCGGAGCUUAACUCCGAAACUGCAUUCGAUACUGCGGUGCUUGAGGACUGGAGAGGAGACUGGAAUUCAUGGUGUAGCAGUGAAAUGCGUAGAGAUCAUGAGGAAGACCAGUGGCGAAGGCGGGUCUCUGGACAGUUCCUGACACUGAGACACGAAGGCCAGGGGAGCAAACGGG